CCUACGGGAGGCAGCAGUGGGGAAUAUUGCGCAAUGGGGGGAACCCUGACGCAGCGACGCCGCGUGAAGGAAGAAGGUCUUCGGAUUGUAAACUUCUUUGGUCGGGGACGAAGAAAUGACGGUACCCGAUAAAAAAGCCACGGCUAACUACGUGCCAGCAGCCGCGGUAAUACGUAGGUGGCAAGCGUUGUCCGGAAUUACUGGGUGUAAAGGGCGUGUAGGCGGGGAUGCAAGUCAGAUGUGAAACCCCAUGGCUCAACUGUGGGCUUGCAUCUGAAACUGUGUUUCUUGAGUGUUGGAGAGGGAAGUGGAAUUCCUAGUGUAGCGGUGAAAUGCGUAGAGAUUAGGAGGAACACCAGUGGCGAAGGCGACUUCCUGGCCAACAACUGACGCUGAGGCGCGAAAGCGUGGGGAGCAAACAGGAUUAGAUACCCUAGUAGUC
RNAcentral lists this ribosomal RNA (442 nucleotides) under uncultured Herbivorax sp. RNAcentral describes it as "bacterial SSU rRNA". It matches the Rfam family "Bacterial small subunit ribosomal RNA", at positions 338 to 795 of the family's 1533-position model. Lineage: Bacteria; Bacillati; Bacillota; Clostridia; Acetivibrionales; Acetivibrionaceae. The record is from RNAcentral.